GAUGAACGCUGGCGGCGUGCUUAACACAUGCAAGUCGAACGAUUAAAGCCCCUUCGGGGGUGUAUAGAGUGGCGAACGGGUGAGUAACACGUGGGCAAUCUGCCCCUCACUUCGGGAUAACUCAGGGAAACUUGAGCUAAUACCGAAUACUCCGAUCGGAUCGCAUGGUCUGACCGGGAAAGCUCCGACGGUGAGGGAUGAGCCCGCGGCCCAUUAGCUUGUUGGUGGGGUAAUGGCCCACCAAGGCAACGAUGGGUAGCCGCGCUGAGAGGCGGAUCGGCCACACUGGGACUGAGACACGGCCCAGACACCUACGGGUGGCUG
RNAcentral lists this ribosomal RNA (324 nucleotides) under uncultured bacterium. RNAcentral's name for it is "bacterial SSU rRNA". It matches the Rfam family "Bacterial small subunit ribosomal RNA", at positions 28 to 351 of the family's 1533-position model. The record is from RNAcentral.